UUCACAAAAUUAUCCAAUGUAACACAAAGAACAGAACCCUUACAGAACUCAGUCUAUCUAAACUAGACUUAACUAUGCUGAUCCGAAUAUGCAUGAAAGUCCCAAUAAACAAACCCUCUUAAACACAGUAAAAAUGAAACAAAGGCUGACAGGUCAAAGCUAGAAGGGCAGAAGGAAAGAGAGGAUUGAAGCCUGUUUCCACACAGCCCACUGUUGAACUCCAUAACUAGUUCUGGAUUGAACUGCUCAGCUAGAGAGCUGGCAACACCCCCUUGACUUAUACAGGUUACUUCUAACAACAUAAAUGCUUUGGCCUAAAGACUCAUCUGUUUACGUAUAAAUAAAAGAGCCUUUCAUCUCUGUACCAAACCCAGCCAUUUUGGAGCCCGGGGUGUUUAUGACCGCUCUGAAAGAAAAUCAAGGACACAGUAUCCUUGAGAAAAAGAACAGCUUUUAGAAAAAAGGACCAGCUUUAUGACACUGGUUCAAUAGGAACAUGGACCAGCAUGCCAGAAAUAUCACCGGGUAUCUUUAAAAAAGAGAUGUUAAACUUGUGAAGCCAAAGAAUUAAAUGUAAUCUUAACACUAGCAGUAACAUGCCAUAGACAGAAUUAUUAUCAAAGAAUGAGCUCAUUUCUACUACAUCCAGUUGUGAAGGGUGGUGGACAAGUAAUAAUAAAAAAGGAAAGAUCCAUGACCAACACCAACCUCAAGACUGGAUAGGUCCAGCACAUCAGUCCAAAAAUCAAGGUUGAAACAUUUGCAACCAUCUUAGCUCUCAUUGCUUAUCCAUCUCGGGCUCCUCCUGAGAUUCCCAGGUGAGAGAUACCUGUCUUCAGCCAAUUCAAUUUGUUCCAAGUGAUAUCAAGAAAUGGCUCAGCAUACCAGCUCUUGAAAUAUUUUGGCUCUGACAAGAACCAACAGUGUUGAAGACUUAUCCUUCAGAGUUAGAUGCAUUUAUGGUUAAAUUGUCCUAAUACAGUUGCAACACUAUUAUUUGUACAACAACUUGGAAUUUUUCUGCUGGUUAAAGAAAGGACAAAACCAAUCCAGCUAAUUACCACCCCAUCGGUCUAUUUUUAGUCAUCAACAAUUCAAUAAAGGUAUCAGUGACAGUACUAUCAGGCAACACCUACUCACCCAUAACCUGCUCAAUUUCGCAAUUCUAAUCAGAGCAUAUGGCUCCAGAUCUCACAAAAAUCUUGAUCCAAGAAGUGUGAUUGGCUCUUCUUGCCUGGAGGUGUGCAGCUCUAACAACAUUCAAAAAACUCAACACCAUCUAGGACAAAGCAGCCAGAUGAUUGGUACUCCACCUAACACAUGCAAGAUGCACCACAGCAACUUGCCCAGCCCCUUUGAAACCUCUAACCCCUACCACCUGAGAAGACAGCAAAUUACACAUUAUCCUAAUUUGGUCACAGCAUGAAAAUCCUGGAACUUCCUCCCUAACAGCACAAUGGAUGUUUCCUCACUACACGGAUUGCAGCAGUUCAAGAAGGUGGUUUACCAUCACCUUCUCAAGGGCAAUUAGGGAUCAGUAAUAAAUGCAGACAUUACCAGCAAUCCCCACAUUAAUGCAUUAACUUUUUAAAAAAUACCUCUUUAUUCUCUGUUCAGUUUUACUUUGCCUCCCCCAAUAUUUCCUCAGGUAAGGAAUGUACUUAAUGUACAUUAGUGCUUUAACUUUUUUUUUGUAUUAAACGUGUUAUACAAAUCAACAGUGUAGGGCUCUUGUGAUGCAAUGAUAAUGUCCCUACCUCUGAGUACUAGGCCUGUGUUUGAGUCCAUCUGCUCAAGAGGUGUCUAAUAAAAUAUCUGAAUAGAUUGGUUACAAAUAUCCAUUGCUUAUAUUCUUGUUUGUAGUGCAUUGCGCAAAUGUUCAGGUCUGACAUGAUUUGUUCAAAAUGUUCUAGUUAUAACCACAAGGACAAUCCAUAUUCUAAGUCACAAUGUAUGUUAUUCACAAAAAGGACCUUUUCUGUUUCCAUGAACCAUGUAGAUCUUAAAGAAGAGCUUAAAGAAGAUCAGAGCCCUGUGACAGAGAUUAUACACAUACGAUAGUGGCAAGAUAACAGAGUAGUCUAAGUGGAAAAACACUAUGGAAGCUUCUUAAUAACUAUAAUAUAAAGGAAAACACACUGGCGAACAGGUUAUCUGCUAGCCCACUGACAAGUUGAAAGGUGUGUGACAUCCAAACUCAAAAAAAAGAAAAAUAAGCUUGAAAAGAAAUGGUCUGGAAAAUUGCUGUCAUUAUUUUUUAAGGUUGUCCCAAGCCACGUGCCAUUCCCUAGCAAAUUAGACAGGCAAUAAAACGUCUCCCAGUGCCGUUCUGCAAUUGGCUGCUAACAAAGCCAUGAGCAUUGAUCUCGUCUGACUUACCCUUCAACUCUUCUUUUAUCACCAUGGAGAAGUACCUGGCGACAUUGUGUACCCUUCCCUGACUGCUUCAUAUUGAGAUUUAAUGGUGCAGGGUGCAAAUCCUCAU
This is a non-coding RNA of Chiloscyllium plagiosum (whitespotted bambooshark), 2485 nucleotides long. NCBI's taxonomy places the organism in Eukaryota, Metazoa, Chordata, Chondrichthyes, Orectolobiformes, Hemiscylliidae. The record is from RefSeq and is a predicted model, not a curated record.